This 234-nucleotide ribosomal RNA is filed under the name uncultured eukaryote. RNAcentral's name for it is "partial 18S ribosomal RNA". It matches the Rfam family "Eukaryotic small subunit ribosomal RNA", at positions 550 to 785 of the family's 1831-position model. The record is from RNAcentral.
GGAGGGCAAGUCUGGUGCCAGCAGCCGCGGUAAUUCCAGCUCCAAUAGCGUAUAUUAAAGUUGUUGCGGUUAAAACGCUGGUAGUUGGAUUUGCGGCCUCGGAGAACGGUCCCCCGAGAGGAGUGGUCACUGUCUCUCCUAGCCUAAAUUCGAGUCGUCUCUAGGUGCUCUUUAGCGGGUGCUUAGAGUGACUAGAACGUUUACUUUGAAAAAAUUAGAGUGUUUAAAGCAGGC